Molecule: long non-coding RNA, 484 nt
Organism: Stomoxys calcitrans (stable fly)
Lineage: Eukaryota; Metazoa; Arthropoda; Insecta; Diptera; Muscidae
Exons: 2
Source: RefSeq, a predicted model, not a curated record
UGUUCAGGAACUUCCAGCGUUAUUCCAGAAAUAUAUCCAAAAUUUUAAUUAUGAAAUUGUUUUUUGUGUCUGCCUUAGCCAUGACGUUGGCCUUGUCACAAGCUACACCUAUUUUCACAUUUGGUAGUGGAUACCCAACCCAAUUUGUGCAAUACCCCGGGCAAGUAAUUUCGUACCCAGGGCAAGUGCUGUACCCCGGUGAAGUAGUCCCAACACAUAACUGUCCAGUAAUCAAUGGUGCCAUUACAGCGGCAAAUGGUAUUGCCAACGGGUUUCAUGAGGCUGCUAACGGCAUAGCUCAAGGUUUCGAGGAAGCUCUUUAUGGUUAGAAAAAAAGGUAACACUACAUGGACGAAGCAUUGCACACAGACUUAAAUUUCAAGGAAAAUUUAUAAAUUUUUUUUGGCGGAAGUCAGAAAAUGAAGUGAAAUAAUGUAAUUGGAUAAAAAAUAAAAAUAAAAAAGCUAUUACUUGAAAAGUAAAA